This 335-nucleotide ribosomal RNA is filed under the name Sphingobium quisquiliarum P25. RNAcentral describes it as "bacterial SSU rRNA". It matches the Rfam family "Bacterial small subunit ribosomal RNA", at positions 1 to 362 of the family's 1533-position model. The record is from RNAcentral. Lineage: Bacteria; Pseudomonadati; Pseudomonadota; Alphaproteobacteria; Sphingomonadales; Sphingobiaceae.
UCAAACUUGAGAGUUUGAUCCUGGCUCAGAACGAACGCUGGCGGCAUGCCUAAUACAUGCAAGUCGAACGAUCUCUUCGGAGAUAGUGGCGCACGGGUGCGUAACGCGUGGGAAUCUGCCCUUGGGUUCGGAAUAACGUCGGGAAACUGACGCUAAUACCGGAUGAUGACGUAAGUCCAAAGAUUUAUCGCCCAGGGAUGAGCCCGCGUAGGAUUAGCUAGUUGGUUGGGUAAAGGCUGACCAAGGCGACGAUCCUUAGCUGGUCUGAGAGGAUGAUCAGCCACACUGGGACUGAGACACGGCCCAGACUCCUACGGGAGGCAGCAGUAGGGAAU